Molecule: unclassified non-coding RNA, 277 nt
Filed under: Hevea brasiliensis (rubber tree)
Lineage: Eukaryota; Viridiplantae; Streptophyta; Magnoliopsida; Malpighiales; Euphorbiaceae
Source: RNAcentral
AUGAAGAAAAUAUGAAGGGCAGCAACAACAAUCCUAAUGCUGUGAAGUUGAGCAGGGCUUGCUCUGUUUCAUCAGCAGCUUCAGCAAACAGGUUCAGACUAGAAAGACAAGGGAGCAAGAAUACAACUACAUCACCAUUUGAAUCAGUGAAAAGAGCUUUCUCAAUGGGAAGAUCUUCAUCAGUUUCUGAGAAGUAUUGCAGGAUUCAUGAUCAGGGAUUCACCGUUUCGUCUCCGAUAUUGGAUGAUGUUGCUGAAGCUCACGAGGAUAGUAGGGA